Molecule: ribosomal RNA, 427 nt
Filed under: uncultured bacterium
Lineage: Bacteria
Description: partial 16S ribosomal RNA
Rfam family: Bacterial small subunit ribosomal RNA
Source: RNAcentral
UGGGGAAUAUUGCACAAUGGGCGCAAGCCUGAUGCAGCCAUGCCGCGUGUAUGAAGAAGGCCUUCGGGUUGUAAAGUACUUUCAGCGAGGAGGAAGGCGUUGUGGUUAAUAACCGCAACGAUUGACGUUACUCGCAGAAGAAGCACCGGCUAACUCCGUGCCAGCAGCCGCGGUAAUACGGAGGGUGCAAGCGUUAAUCGGAAUUACUGGGCGUAAAGCGCACGCAGGCGGUCUGUCAAGUCGGAUGUGAAAUCCCCGGGCUCAACCUGGGAACUGCAUCCGAAACUGGCAGGCUAGAGUCUUGUAGAGGGGGGUAGAAUUCCAGGUGUAGCGGUGAAAUGCGUAGAGAUCUGGAGGAAUACCGGUGGCGAAGGCGGCCCCCUAGACAAAGACUGACGCUCAGGUGCGAAAGCGUGGGGAGCAAACA